Paramuricea clavata is the source of this 978-nucleotide non-coding RNA. Lineage: Eukaryota; Metazoa; Cnidaria; Anthozoa; Malacalcyonacea; Plexauridae. The record is from the annotation of a GenBank genome assembly.
UACAAUAUAUUUGAAAAUAUGGCUGUAUAACAACAACAUCGGCAUAUUUACAUAUUUAACCAUGUCCAUGAUAUUCCAAGUCAAUUUUCUCGUGAGCUCACAAAUCAAUUAAAAAUCGUUUCACGAAAUCGACACACGCUAACAGUACGUAGAUGGUCAAGCUUUUUAGGGUAGUGCUGGACUUCUCUAUGGAGAUGCAAGACACCACUAGCUGGGAUGUGCACCCGCGUGGUAUAGAUCCGCGGCCCGCAUGGUAGAUCCGCGGCCAGUAAAAAUCUCUGAACAACAAACACCACGUUGAGCACAACAUAUGAGCAGAGUAUAUGCAAGUAAAAUCUCUACCGGAUGUCUAUACGUAUAUUUACAAGUCGAAUGUGAUAAUUACAUUUAAUGUCCCACAAUUUUUAGCGACAAUUCGAAAUGCAGAUGUGUUAAAUGAAAUUGGAAUGGCUAGGCAACGAUUUGCAUCGCGAAUUGGCUUUAAAAUUGACCCUUGGGACAUCGCAUUAAGGGUUUCUCGCGUCUGACGUCAUUAUGAAAAAGGUCUGUUGUACAGGAUGUCUCAAGUAUACGUUUAGAAAUUCACCUUAUUUCAAUUUGAAUGACUGAGUCCUGUACUGCUUGUAGCCUUGACAAACCAUUAUAUAAUCAUACUAAGGGCCUGUUCAUAUCGGCAAAAGUUAUCCCGGUUAACGAGAGAACUUUUCGACUAGCCAAAUACUUUUGUUCUGUUCAUAUGGAGAAAUAUUAACCCACUUACCGGGAAAAGUUUCCGGCUGUGACGUAGCAAUGAACAUCAAUUGAAUUGAAAAGUUGCUGACACGACAAAAAGUUAUCCCGCGCUAAGCGGGAAAGUUGUGUUCAUAUGGGAAAAACAUUAUCCCGGUCACCGAGAUCUCGCCUGUCAACAAGCGAGAUCUCGGUACACGGGAAAACUUUUCGUCUCAUAUGAACGCAAUGUAACUUUUCAUAUUAUUU